This 104-nucleotide ribosomal RNA is filed under the name Erycina hyalinobulbon. RNAcentral describes it as "partial 18S ribosomal RNA". It matches the Rfam family "Eukaryotic small subunit ribosomal RNA", at positions 1728 to 1831 of the family's 1831-position model. The record is from RNAcentral. Lineage: Eukaryota; Viridiplantae; Streptophyta; Magnoliopsida; Asparagales; Orchidaceae.
GUUCGCCGCUCGCGACUCGGCGACAAGUCCAUUGAACCUUAUCAUUUAGAGGAAGGAGAAGUCGUAACAAGGUUUCCGUAGGUGAACCUGCGGAAGGAUCAUUG